This 995-nucleotide ribosomal RNA is filed under the name uncultured beta proteobacterium. RNAcentral's name for it is "bacterial SSU rRNA". It matches the Rfam family "Bacterial small subunit ribosomal RNA", at positions 508 to 1504 of the family's 1533-position model. The record is from RNAcentral. Lineage: Bacteria; Pseudomonadati; Pseudomonadota; Betaproteobacteria.
CCAGCCGCCGCGGUAAUACGUAGGGUGCAGGCGUUAAUCGGAAUUACUGGGCGUAAAGCGUGCGCAGGCGGUCUUUUAAGUCAGAUGUGAAAUCCCCGGGCUUAACCUGGGAACUGCGUUUGAAACUGGAAGGCUAGAGUGUGGCAGAGGGGGGUGGAAUUCCACGUGUAGCAGUGAAAUGCGUAGAUAUGUGGAGGAACACCGAUGGCGAAGGCAGCCCCCUGGGCUAACACUGACGCUCAUGCACGAAAGCGUGGGGAGCAAACAGGAUUAGAUACCCUGGUAGUCCACGCCCUAAACUAUGUCAACUGGUUGUCGGGGAAGCAAUUCCUUGGUAACGAAGCUAACGCGUGAAGUUGACCGCCUGGGGAGUACGGCCGCAAGGUUAAAACUCAAAGGAAUUGACGGGGACCCGCACAAGCGGUGGAUUAUGUGGAUUAAUUCGAUGCAACGCGAAAAACCUUACCUACCCUUGACAUGCCAGGAACCUCGCAGAGAUGUGAGGGUGCCCGAAAGGGAACCUGGACACAGGUGCUGCAUGGCUGUCGUCAGCUCGUGUCGUGAGAUGUUGGGUUAAGUCCCGCAACGAGCGCAACCCUUGCCAUUAGUUGCCACAUUCAGUUGGGCACUCUAAUGGGACUGCCGGUGACAAACCGGAGGAAGGUGGGGAUGACGUCAAGUCCUCAUGGCCCUUAUGGGUAGGGCUUCACACGUAAUACAAUGGCCGGUACAGAGGGCAGCCAACCCGCGAGGGGGAGCUAAUCCCAGAAAGCCGGUCGUAGUCCGGAUUGCAGUCUGCAACUCGACUGCAUGAAGCCGGAAUCGCUAGUAAUCGCGGAUCAGCAUGUCGCGGUGAAUACGUUCCCGGGUCUUGUACACACCGCCCGUCACACCAUGGGAGUGGGUUCCACCAGAAGUAGCUAGCCUAACCGCAAGGAGGGCGACUACCACGGUGAGAUUCAUGACUGGGGUGAAGUCGUAACAAGGUAACCAAG